GUCUAGGGCCAUGCCACCCUGAAUAAGCCCGAUAUGUGAUCUCAGAAGCUAAGCAGGGUUGGGCCUGGUUUGUACUUGAAUGGGAGACCACCUAGGAAGACCAGGUGCUGUAGGCG
Molecule: ribosomal RNA, 116 nt
Filed under: Pteropus alecto (black flying fox)
Lineage: Eukaryota; Metazoa; Chordata; Mammalia; Chiroptera; Pteropodidae
Source: RNAcentral